Molecule: long non-coding RNA, 2012 nt
Filed under: Ananas comosus (pineapple)
Lineage: Eukaryota; Viridiplantae; Streptophyta; Magnoliopsida; Poales; Bromeliaceae
Description: long non-coding RNA (ACOM_LNC043221)
Source: RNAcentral
UAGGUAGGUGAUCACACCAACUUCCCUUAUAGUCGAUGACACACGCUCGCAACAUAUCCUCCAGAGUUUGAAUGAUUCUCUCUGUUUGCCCAUCGGUCUGAGGAUGAAAUGCGGUGCUAAAGUCGAGCCGUGUGCCAAGGGCUUCCUGCAGGCUCUUCCAGAAGUGUGAAGUGAAUCGGGGGUCACGAUCCAACACGAUCGAUUUCGGCACCCCAUGCAGUCUCACUAUCUCGUCGAGGUAUACCUGCGCUAACUUGUCACCCGACCAUGUGGUGUGGAUCGGCAGAAGUGAGCCGACUUCGUUAGUCGGUCCACAAUUACCCAAAUUGCAUCGUGGCCGCCCGUUGAGCGAGGCAAGCCGACCACGAAGUCCAUCGAUAUAUCCUCUCAUUUCCAAACAGGGAUUGGUAGGUUUUGAAGCUUUCCCACUGGAAAUCGACGCUCUGCUUUCACUUCUUAGCAUGUUAAGCACUUCGCCACAAAGUGUCCAAUAUCACUCUUCAUUCCCGGCCACCAGUAGUGUAUUUUUAGUCCUUGAUACAUGUCACGCCCCGGGACCGAUACCAAUUUGGCCCGACCCGAGCACGUCAAACAGACGCCGAACGGACAGAGUUUCCCCUAUCCGCCCAAGGCUCAUCACAUGUACAAAUUCAAACAAGAAAUGCACUAGCGGAAACAUACACAAACGGCUUACACGAAGGUAAGCAAUAGCCAUUAGUGAAAGAAAAAGGAAACUAAAUAUUCACUUAUACUAUGAUUCAUUUUUUGAUCAUAUACAUUGCAUUCAUCUUCUAGUUCCUUAAAUUUCAUUACAUAAUUUCAUCAUUUCUUUCUUACAUCACAUUUACCUCAAAAUAAGCUUUACAUUCUUUUCUUUACAUUACUAGUCAUCAAAUACAACAGAUGAACAUAGGGUAGCUACUAUCAAAAUGUAAUCCAACUCCGGUGGCCUCUGACUACGGCGCGAUACCUUUACCUCGGUCGCUCGCCGGCUCGCUAGGUCCCGGCUCUGUGGAAAUAGUGGGGUGAGAACUACAACAAAGUUCCCAGUGGGUUCGGCCUCAACAUCACCGACUUUCCCACUAGGACUAACUCAGGCAUAAUAGAAAGGAUAAGCUGAAAUAUGGUAACCAAUCUACAACAGGAUGCUAAUAUGCCUGAACAAUAAGCAAGGAAUAUGCUCAACAUUAAAUAAAUGCAGAUUAUGCAAAUUCUUUUGUUCUUUAUCUUUACACUUUGUUCUUGUUCUUUGCACUUUGCUCUUUGUUCUUUAUUCUUUAAUCUCGAGGCUAACCCGGGGGUUUCGCCACAUUAACUUGCUUCACAUUAAGUCCAUCAUCGCAGGAACUCACCCGCUAGGACCGUCCUUCGGGUCUACUCCAACCCGUGAUGCAUAACUCCGGAGCGCAUCGCCCGAGGGGGAGCGACCGCCCUCGAGCACGGAACUCAUAGCAAGUAUGAUCGUAUCCUUAACUCAAAGGAUUUAUAAGUUCAAUCUUGACUUUACACUAGCUCUAGUGUUCAUUACAUCACUUUAUGUUGCCACUCUAGCAAUCGUUGUUCUUUACUUUUCUUUUACUUUGGUUUUCUUUAGCAUUCUUGUUCUUUACAUUUCUCGUUCUUAUUGCCCCACUUUACUUUAACUUUACACAUUGUCAUUUUCAUCAUUCUUUACAUCACUUUGGUUCUUUGGCUCACACUAACUCUAGUGUCACUUUACUUUACGUUUCGAAUGCCACUCGAUCUAUGUCAUUGUGUCACUCUGUUCUUUUGCUCACUUUGGAUGCUCACUUUUCUCUCAUGCAUACACGUAGGGUUCUAACAUUCAUAAGGUUCUCAUUCAUCAUAUUAUGCAAGUUGUACUCACAAUCAUGCAACACUACAUUUUCAUCAUUACUUUACCCUAAAAUGCAUGCAACAACAUAUAUAUAUGCUCAAAUGAAUGACACAUUAGGCAUAGAGAGAAGUUCAAUGAGUUUGAGAAGCACCACCCACCUCGUAGGCUUUCAAAG